RNAcentral lists this ribosomal RNA (410 nucleotides) under uncultured bacterium. Its description in RNAcentral is "bacterial SSU rRNA". It matches the Rfam family "Bacterial small subunit ribosomal RNA", at positions 362 to 770 of the family's 1533-position model. The record is from RNAcentral.
UAUUGGUCAAUGGCCGCAGGGCUGAACCAGCCAAGUCGCGUGAGGGAUGACGGUCCUAUGGAUUGUAAACCUCUUUUGUCAGGGAGCAAAGGGCGCCACGUGUGGCGUUUUGCGAGUACCUGAAGAAAAAGCAUCGGCUAACUCCGUGCCAGCAGCCGCGGUACUACGGAGGAUGCGAGCGUUAUCCGGAUUUAUUGGGUUUAAAGGGUGCGCAGGCGGCCUGUUAAGUCUGCGGUAAAAGCCCGGGGCUCGACCCCGGCGAGCCGUUGAAACUGGCGGGCUGGAGUUGGAGAGAAGUACGCGGAAUGCGCGGUGUAGCGGUGAAAUGCUUAGAUAUCGCGCAGAACCCCGAUUGCGAAGGCAGCGUACCGGCUCCACACUGACGCUGAGGCACGAAAGCGUGGGUAUCG